UACGGAGGGUGCAAGCGUUAUCCGGAUUCACUGGGUUUAAAGGGUGCGUAGGCGGGCAGGUAAGUCAGAGGUGAAAUCUCCGGGCUUAACCCGGAAACUGCCUUUGAUACUAUCUGUCUUGAAUAUGGUGGAGGUAAGCGGAAUAUGUCAUGUAGCGGUGAAAUGCUUAGAGAUGACAUAGAACACCCAUUGCGAAGGCAGCUUACUACGCCUAUAUUGACGCUGAGGCACGAAAGCGUGGGGAGCGAACAGG
Molecule: ribosomal RNA, 253 nt
Filed under: uncultured bacterium
Lineage: Bacteria
Description: partial 16S ribosomal RNA
Rfam family: Bacterial small subunit ribosomal RNA
Source: RNAcentral